Molecule: small nucleolar RNA, 90 nt
Organism: Pteronotus mesoamericanus
Lineage: Eukaryota; Metazoa; Chordata; Mammalia; Chiroptera; Mormoopidae
Product: small nucleolar SNORD12/SNORD106
Exons: 1
Source: RefSeq, a predicted model, not a curated record
GCUGGUGAAAAUGAUGACUACUUUUUUUCCCCAUCGGAUCGACCAUGCUGAUACCUUUGAAUACUUGCCAGUUAGUUCUGAUACACCAGC